GAACUGUCCGACCCAGCGGGAGCGCGGGCUGAGCGGCCGGUAGCGGGCUCCACGCUCGGCGCCUGCGCGCCCGGCCUCGCCCAGAAAGUUAAAGGCAGCUGCUAUUCGAUCCGUUAACAUCUGUCAAACUUCAGAGGUAUACCACGGCUUCCAGUUCUCCAGUAAGAAUCUAAUAUCUCCCCUCACAUCCGAAGAGCCACAAGAGCUCAUCUUUAAUCUACUGAGAUCAGACUUGUGACCAUCUCAAUUUGUAAGUUUGGGAUUGACUUGACAUGAUAUCUAUGGACAUAAACACCCAAACACAAGGCUAAAAACCAUCCCUCAGCGAACACUUUCAUUAUUCAACUGGACUCUAAAGUGACCCCAUGUAAAUUAUAUAGUCAUAAAUCAGUUGUUUGAACUUUAGCUGCGACAUUCCCAGAGGAACUAACAGCUACAAGCAGGGUCAAGUGAAGCAAAAAGGACUUUGCCUAGAGAGACUGGCAAUGUGGAGUCUGCCAUACUCAUCCCACAUCUGUAAUCAACACCCUUGUCAUUCUUUUAAUUAAAGCAUACCACCUUUGUACUUAACACAAUACCUAUACUCUUCAGCUGUCUAGGCCAUGUGAGUGGGGCCCAUUCUGAAGCUGGCAUGAGUUGGACCAAACUUCUGAUGGCUAAAAGGGAAAUGGGCACUGUUGGAGAUUGGGCAUCUAUACACUUUGUCUAAAGUGCAUGCCUGGGCUUUCAUAGAGUGAUUUUAACAGAACUUGGGGAAUUAUUUGACUUACCAUUCUAUGUUUUACCAAGUUACUUGUGUAAGACAGUGAUCUAGAUCAAUAAAAUCUUAACAACAGCAACCUUUCUAAUUAUAAAAUUUCUUUUACAUUCGUUUAUACAUUUGUGUAUAUGUGCACAUGUAUGCCAUGGAGCCUGGAGGACAGCCUGUGGGAGUCAGUUCUCUCUUUCCACCAUGUUCUCAGGUUGAACAACAUGGGCCUUUAUCCUCUGAGCCAUUUCUCUUUCCCCAAUUUUACAUUUUCUAAUAGUCACAUUUAAAAAGCUGAACAAGUUGGUGAAGUUAAUGCCAGAAGUAUACUCUAUAUAAUAUUGAAUCAUUAUCUUAACAAGUAAUCAAUAUAAAACUUACUGAGUUGUUUUUCAUAUGAAGCCUUUGAAAUCAAACAUGCUUUACAUAUGGAGCCAUUCUGAAUUUCCAGUGCUUAGCAGUCUGAGGCAGGGGAACUUACUAGACUAAAAGUACAACUUCAAGUUAGCAAUGUGAGCUAGAAUUGUUUUUG
Peromyscus leucopus (white-footed mouse) is the source of this 1280-nucleotide long non-coding RNA. RefSeq lists it as uncharacterized. The transcript has 3 exons. NCBI's taxonomy places the organism in Eukaryota, Metazoa, Chordata, Mammalia, Rodentia, Cricetidae. The record is from RefSeq and is a predicted model, not a curated record.